RNAcentral lists this ribosomal RNA (451 nucleotides) under uncultured bacterium. RNAcentral's name for it is "partial 16S ribosomal RNA". It matches the Rfam family "Bacterial small subunit ribosomal RNA", at positions 29 to 523 of the family's 1533-position model. The record is from RNAcentral.
AACGAACGCUGGCGGCAGGCUUAACACAUGCAAGUCGAACGGUUGUAGCAAUACAGCAGUGGCAGACGGGUGAGUAACACGUGGGAACCUUCCUAGAGGUACGGAACAACGCAGGGAAACUUGCGCUAAUACCGUAUACGCUCGAGAGAGGAAAGAUUUAUCGCCUUUAGACGGGCCCGCGUCGGAUUAGCUAGUUGGUGAGGUAACGGCUCACCAAGGCGACGAUCCGUAGCUGAUCUGAGAGGAUGAUCAGCAACACUGGGACUGAGACACGGCCCAGACUCCUACGGGAGGCAGCAGUGGGGAAUCUUGGACAAUGGGCGCAAGCCUGAUCCAGCCAUACCGCGUGAGUGAAGAAGGCCUUCGGGUUGUAAAGCUCUUUUGUCAGGGACGAUAAUGACGGUACCUGAAGAAUAAGCCCCGGCAAACUUCGUGCCAGCAGCCGCCGUAA